AAAUUGAAGAGUUUGAUCAUGGCUCAGAUUGAACGCUGGCGGCAGGCCUAACACAUGCAAGUCGAGCGGUAGCACAGAGAGCUUGCUCUCGGGUGACGAGCGGCGGACGGGUGAGUAAUGUCUGGGAAACUGCCUGAUGGAGGGGGAUAACUACUGGAAACGGUAGCUAAUACCGCAUAACGUCGCAAGACCAAAGUGGGGGACCUUCGGGCCUCAUGCCAUCAGAUGUGCCCAGAUGGGAUUAGCUAGUAGGUGGGGUAACGGCUCACCUAGGCGACGAUCCCUAGCUGGUCUGAGAGGAUGACCAGCCACACUGGAACUGAGACACGGUCCAGACUCCUACGGGAGGCAGCAGUGGGGAAUAUUGCACAAUGGGCGCAAGCCUGAUGCAGCCAUGCCGCGUGUGUGAAGAAGGCCUUCGGGUUGUAAAGCACUUUCAGCGGGGAGGAAGGCGGUAAGGUUAAUAACCUUGUCGAUUGACGUUACCCGCAGAAGAAGCACCGGCUAACUCCGUGCCAGCAGCCGCGGUAAUACGGAGGGUGCAAGCGUUAAUCGGAAUUACUGGGCGUAAAGCGCACGCAGGCGGUCUGUCAAGUCGGAUGUGAAAUCCCCGGGCUCAACCUGGGAACUGCAUUCGAAACUGGCAGGCUAGAGUCUUGUAGAGGGGGGUAGAAUUCCAGGUGUAGCGGUGAAAUGCGUAGAGAUCUGGAGGAAUACCGGUGGCGAAGGCGGCCCCCUGGACAAAGACUGACGCUCAGGUGCGAAAGCGUGGGGAGCAAACAGGAUUAGAUACCCUGGUAGUCCACGCCGUAAACGAUGUCGAUUUGGAGGUUGUGCCCUUGAGGCGUGGCUUCCGGAGCUAACGCGUUAAAUCGACCGCCUGGGGAGUACGGCCGCAAGGUUAAAACUCAAAUGAAUUGACGGGGGCCCGCACAAGCGGUGGAGCAUGUGGUUUAAUUCGAUGCAACGCGAAGAACCUUACCUGGUCUUGACAUCCACAGAACUUUCCAGAGAUGGAUUGGUGCCUUCGGGAACUGUGAGACAGGUGCUGCAUGGCUGUCGUCAGCUCGUGUUGUGAAAUGUUGGGUUAAGUCCCGCAACGAGCGCAACCCUUAUCCUUUGUUGCCAGCGGUUCGGCCGGGAACUCAAAGGAGACUGCCAGUGAUAAACUGGAGGAAGGUGGGGAUGACGUCAAGUCAUCAUGGCCCUUACGACCAGGGCUACACACGUGCUACAAUGGCAUAUACAAAGAGAAGCGACCUCGCGAGAGCAAGCGGACCUCAUAAAGUAUGUCGUAGUCCGGAUUGGAGUCUGCAACUCGACUCCAUGAAGUCGGAAUCGCUAGUAAUCGUAGAUCAGAAUGCUACGGUGAAUACGUUCCCGGGCCUUGUACACACCGCCCGUCACACCAUGGGAGUGGGUUGCAAAAGAAGUAGGUAGCUUAACCUUCGGGAGGGCGCUUACCACUUUGUGAUUCAUGACUGGGGUGAAGUCGUAACAAGGUAACCGUAGGGGAACCUGCGGUUGGAUCACCUCCUUA
Molecule: ribosomal RNA, 1540 nt
Filed under: Klebsiella pneumoniae
Lineage: Bacteria; Pseudomonadati; Pseudomonadota; Gammaproteobacteria; Enterobacterales; Enterobacteriaceae
Description: bacterial SSU rRNA
Rfam family: Bacterial small subunit ribosomal RNA
Source: RNAcentral